UCCUACGUGAAAUGAGAAGCAAUUGCAGGCAAAAGUUAAUCUCCAUUAAGAUUACCAAUAGAAACAUUGAGUAACUAAAACGAUAUGAUCAUGACCCCAAUAAGACACUUAUAAUUAGCUCUGGUGAUAGAUGGAAUCGGUUUAGUCAUCACGGUUUUCGCACUUCCUAUCUGAAUAUGUUUAGCGGCAUGCUAUGUAGCAUGGAUACUCUAACUAGGGUAGCGUGUCCGUGUCCGUGUCCGACACGUGUCGGAUACGUGUCGAUACCGACACUCUUCGAAUACUCUACAAUAAUCAUUUUCCUUUCUUACUAUAACUAUUAUAUAUUUUUAAUUCAAAGUUUUUAAUAAAUAACAAAUAAGUGCUCAUAUUUAAAAGAUUUCAACAAAAAAAAAAUCAAUAAUAAGUAUAAAACUAAAUUUAAACUACAUAAAUUGAAGAAUUUUAAAAAUUUAAUGUACGUGUCGACGACGUGUCGUGUCGGUACUUUUUUGAAAAACCACGAGUCGACGUAUCCGACACGUAUCGUGUCGGACACACGUGUCCGUGUCGGUGCAUCAUAGGCGGCAUGCAAUCAUUUUGUGUUGCACUCGAAUAUUAAUUUGAAAUCGGAAAAGAAUAUAAACGGUCUGAAUGCCAAACAUAACUGCUAUAUUAUACUGUUUCCAUAAAUGCAGGUGCAAUUUUUUCGUAAAGGAGAGUGUAAAUAAUGCAUAUGAACGAGCAUAAUGACAAAUGAAAGUUUACUGCAGCUGAAAGGUACUGACUCAACU
This 773-nucleotide long non-coding RNA is filed under the name Olea europaea (common olive). Its description in RNAcentral is "long non-coding RNA (OEUR_LNC002829)". Lineage: Eukaryota; Viridiplantae; Streptophyta; Magnoliopsida; Lamiales; Oleaceae. The record is from RNAcentral.